Molecule: ribosomal RNA, 464 nt
Filed under: uncultured bacterium
Lineage: Bacteria
Description: bacterial SSU rRNA
Rfam family: Bacterial small subunit ribosomal RNA
Source: RNAcentral
GGACUCGCACAAGCGGUGGAGCAUGCGGUUUAAUUCGAUGCAACGCGAAGAACCUUACCAGGUCUUGACAUCCCGGCGACCGGACUAGAAAUAGUCCUUUCCUUCGGGACGACGGAGACAGGUGGUGCAUGGUUGUCGUCAGCUCGUGUCGUGAGAUGUUGGGUUAAGUCCCGCAACGAGCGCAACCCUUAUCAUUAGUUGCUAACAUUAAGUUGAGGACUCUAAUGAGACCGCCGGUGACAAACCGGAUGAAGGUGAGGAUGACGUCAAAUCAUCAUGCCCCUUACGAUCUGGGCUACACGCGUGCUACAAUGGCCGGUACAAUGAGUCGCGAAGCCGCGAGGCGGAGCUAAUCUCAAAAAGCCGGUCUCAGUCCGGAUUGUAGUCUGCAACUCGACUACAUGAAGUCGGAAUCGCUAGUAAUCGCGAAUCAGAAUGUCGCGGUGAAUACGUUCUCGAGUCUU